Molecule: ribosomal RNA, 251 nt
Filed under: uncultured prokaryote
Description: partial 16S rRNA
Rfam family: Bacterial small subunit ribosomal RNA
Source: RNAcentral
ACGUAGGGGGCAAGCGUUAUCCGGAUUUACUGGGUGUAAAGGGAGCGUAGAUGGCAUGGCAAGUCAGAUGUGAAAACCCGUGGCUCAACCACGGGACUGCAUUUGAAACUGUCAAGCUGGAGUGCAGGAGAGGUAAGUGGAAUUCCUAGUGUAGCGGUGAAAUGCGUAGAUAUUAGGAGGAACACCAGUGGCGAAGGCGGCUUACUGGACUGUAACUGACAUUGAGGCUCGAAAGCGUGGGGAGCAAACAG